This 45-nucleotide small RNA is filed under the name Leptocylindrus danicus. Its description in RNAcentral is "partial Mitochondrion-encoded tmRNA". The record is from RNAcentral. Lineage: Eukaryota; Bacillariophyta; Leptocylindrophyceae; Leptocylindrales; Leptocylindraceae.
UUGAUGUAGAUGGAAAUAUCAAAAGCUAUGUACCACUUGACCCUC